This 352-nucleotide long non-coding RNA is filed under the name Homo sapiens (human). RNAcentral describes it as "HSALNT0307247". Lineage: Eukaryota; Metazoa; Chordata; Mammalia; Primates; Hominidae. The record is from RNAcentral.
AGUCACACCGUUGUCUGAGAACCUGCUGGCCCUUGUACCACUCAUUUAAAUUCAUACUCAACUAGGAUUCUCCAGCGCUUUACAUGUCUCCUGGAGAAUGCAUAGAAAGUGCUGGGGCCAUGGUGGUGAACAAAAUAAAGUCUAUGUUUUCAUGAAGCUUACUUUCCAGUAAGGUUAGAAAGAAGUUGAAGAACCAAAAAUGUGUAGACUGACGGGAAAGGGAAUGGAAGGGAAUAGUCAUUGAACCGACAUCUCAUUUCCCUUACAGUGUCUCCACCACUCAGAAGGUGCCAAGUACCAUGUGGAUAUUUUACCUUCAUUCAUUAUGUCAUUCAAUCCUUAUCACACUCUG